UCGAAACUAACGUAGAUACGAGCUGCCAAACAUUAAGUAGAAAUACAAAAAAAUAGAUUACUUUAGCAGCUCAUAACUCGGGUUGUUUUAAAGAUAUCAAAAAAAUUUCAACUACAAAAUUGUAGAAAUUUAGGUAAUAAACACG
Caenorhabditis elegans is the source of this 145-nucleotide non-coding RNA. The record is from Ensembl. Lineage: Eukaryota; Metazoa; Nematoda; Chromadorea; Rhabditida; Rhabditidae.